GCCAGGUGUGGUGUCGCACACCUGUAAUCCCAGCUACUGGGGAGGCUGAGGUAGGAGAAUCGCUUGAACCCAGGAAGUGGAGGUUGCAGUGAGCCGAGAUGGCGUCACUGUUCUCCAGCCUGGGCAACAGAGUGAGACUAUGUCUCAA
RNAcentral lists this small RNA (148 nucleotides) under Macaca fascicularis (crab-eating macaque). RNAcentral's name for it is "Metazoan signal recognition particle RNA (ENSMFAG00000063114.1)". Lineage: Eukaryota; Metazoa; Chordata; Mammalia; Primates; Cercopithecidae. The record is from Rfam by way of RNAcentral.